GAUGAACGCUAGCGGUGCGCCUAACACAUGCAAGUCGAGCGGUAGUUUUAUUUUUGAAGCCUUCGGGUUGAUUAAAUAAAAUGAGAGCGGCGGACGGGUGAGUAAUGCCUUAGAACCUGCCCCUAAGUCAGGGAUAGCCAUUGGAAACGAUGAUUAAUACCGGAUGUGCUGGAGACAGUAAAGCCUUCGGGUGCUUAGGGAGGGGCUUUGGUCCUAUCAGCUAGUUGGUGAGGUAAAAGCUCACCAAGGCAAUGACGGGUAGUUGAUCUGAGAGGAUGAUCAGCCACAAUGGAACUGAGACACGGUCCAUACUCCUACGGGAGGCAGCAGUGAGGAAUCUUCCACAAUGGACGAAAGUCUGAUGGAGCGACACCGCGUGAAGGAUGAAGGUUGAGAGAUUGUAAACUUCUUUUCUGGGGGAGCAUAAUGAGAGUACCUCAGGAAUAAGGGGCGGCUAACUACG
This 463-nucleotide ribosomal RNA is filed under the name uncultured bacterium. RNAcentral's name for it is "bacterial SSU rRNA". It matches the Rfam family "Bacterial small subunit ribosomal RNA", at positions 28 to 505 of the family's 1533-position model. The record is from RNAcentral.